RNAcentral lists this ribosomal RNA (288 nucleotides) under Triticum aestivum (bread wheat). Its description in RNAcentral is "partial small subunit ribosomal RNA". The record is from RNAcentral. Lineage: Eukaryota; Viridiplantae; Streptophyta; Magnoliopsida; Poales; Poaceae.
AUGGCCACGCGUGCUAAGCGUGGUCUUUUCCAGCCUGUCGACCAUCUUAAUCUCUCCGCCAUUCACUCCACUGCCUCUCCUAUUCCCAAAACAUCCCGGGGUGCCCUCCAUGACCCACACUGGCGUCGUGCUAUGACCAAGGAAUUUGAUGCUCUUGUCACUAAUGGGACGUGGUCUCUUGUUCCCCGUCCCCCUCGUGCUCAUGUUGUCUCAGGAAAGUGGAUAUUCAAACACAAGUUCCACUCGGAUGGCAGCCUAGCCCGGUACAAGGCUCGAUGGGUGGUAUGA